This is a long non-coding RNA of Anastrepha ludens (Mexican fruit fly), 600 nucleotides long. RefSeq lists it as uncharacterized. The transcript is spliced from 3 exons. Lineage: Eukaryota; Metazoa; Arthropoda; Insecta; Diptera; Tephritidae. The record is from RefSeq and is a predicted model, not a curated record.
ACUACGACCAUCCCAUGUUGAAGCUAUUAGGGAUAUAGCCAACUAGAAGGAUAUCUCUAAUCACCUCGUUGCCGCUGCUAAGAGAUGUUUGUGUCAUCUAAGCUUUAAGUAACCUAGAGAAGCCUAUUUGAAUUUGUGGGACGAAUGUUGGGCAAAGCGGUGCUUACUCUAAAGGAUAAAUUGAAGGAGCUAAAAGUGCAUUCGGUGCUAGAAAUCAACAUCAAGUUAGGGCGGCACAAAAGGCGGUCGCCCAUGCAUGCGCGAUUCGUAGGAGAAAUUCGCGUGUGCUAUUUAACUUAGAGUAUUGAGAGUAUGACACGUCGCAUCAUCAAACUAAACUAAUACAACCAAAACGCGCCGAAAAACGAAAAAAAAAAAACCAAACUAAAAUUAAUCUGGCGAAACAUAAUUACGUGUGUUGCAAGGUAAUAAAAAUUGAGCUUAUUCUAUUAGCCUAAAAGGGUAUUUGAACAAUGUAGUCAUGUAUUUUUAUUAAUUCAAUUGUAAAUGAAAUAUAUGUAUUUUUCACAAAGAUUUGGUAUUAAUAAAUUUUUUUGAAGAUUCCUUAAAUGAACUGAAAACUUUGACAUUGUUCAGAUA